This 91-nucleotide transfer RNA is filed under the name Parcubacteria group bacterium SW_6_46_9. RNAcentral describes it as "tRNA-Ser". It matches the Rfam family "tRNA". From Rfam's summary of the family: Transfer RNA (tRNA) molecules are approximately 80 nucleotides in length. The record is from RNAcentral.
GGAGGGGUGCCAGAGCGGUCGAUUGGGCACGCCUGGAAAGCGUGUGUACGUUUAUAGCGUACCGAGAGUUCGAAUCUCUCCCCCUCCGCAA